This 253-nucleotide ribosomal RNA is filed under the name uncultured bacterium. Its description in RNAcentral is "partial 16S ribosomal RNA". It matches the Rfam family "Bacterial small subunit ribosomal RNA", at positions 524 to 776 of the family's 1533-position model. The record is from RNAcentral.
UACGUAGGUCCCGAGCGUUGUCCGGAUUUAUUGGGUUUAAAGGGAGCGUAGGCGGGUUGUUAAGUCAGUUGUGAAAGUUUGCGGCUCAACCGUAAAAUUGCAGUUGAUACUGGCAUCCUUGAGUACAGUAGAGGUAGGCGGAAUUCGUGGUGUAGCGGUGAAAUGCUUAGAUAUCACGAAGAACUCCGAUUGCGAAGGCAGCCUGCUGGACUGUAACUGACGCUGAUGCUCGAAAGUGUGGGUAUCAAACAGG